RNAcentral lists this ribosomal RNA (253 nucleotides) under uncultured bacterium. Its description in RNAcentral is "partial 16S ribosomal RNA". It matches the Rfam family "Bacterial small subunit ribosomal RNA", at positions 524 to 776 of the family's 1533-position model. The record is from RNAcentral.
UACAGAGGGUGCGAGCGUUAAUCGGAAUUACUGGGCGUAAAGGGCGCGUAGGCGGUUAUUUAAGUUUGAUGUGAAAUCCCUGGGCUUAACCUAGGAACUGCAUUGAAGACUGGAUGACUGGAGUACUGUAGAGGGUAGUGGAAUUUCCGGUGUAGCGGUGAAAUGCGUAGGGAUCGGAAGAAACACCAGUGGCGAAGGCGGCUACCUGGACAGAUACUGACGCUGAGGCGCGAGAGCGUGGGGAGCAAACAGG